Long non-coding RNA from Chelonia mydas (Green sea turtle), 1166 nucleotides. RefSeq lists it as uncharacterized. Lineage: Eukaryota; Metazoa; Chordata; Testudines; Cheloniidae. The record is from RefSeq and is a predicted model, not a curated record. The transcript is spliced from 3 exons.
CGGUUGGGAGGAGUUAACGCUUGAGGGCGGGGCUGCGCCACGCCGCAGGCUCUUCCGCGCUGUGGGCAGGCUCUGGCUAUGCCUGAGCAGAAGUGGAGAACUUGGCCCCAUACUAGCAAGAUUCUAUUUCUCCACUGAUUACUUUUGGAACAGAAAAGAUCUGGGAGGACACUUUUCUACAUAUUUUAAAGCUUCAGUCCUGCAAUACACUUUACAUGUGAACCACUGAACACUGACAUCGGUGGAGCUUCGUGCAGCUGCAGGUUUCUGCCCACACAGUGCCCCCAUAGGACUGGAGUCUAAAUAUCUACAAACUUGGGCCCUGAUUCAGAAAAGCAUCUCUUGUGGUCUUCCUUCAAUAGACUUUAACUUGUGCUUAUCUGCUGUCCUGAAUAGACAGACUUAAGCAUGUGGUUAAGGACCUCUCUGAACCAGCGUCUUCGGACUUGAUCCUGCAGACUGUUAAGUAUGUGAUCCUUGGUGUUCCAAAUUUACUUAUAGCUUUUAAAUUUUGAAAGGCUUCCUGUUUUCUGGUUACGUAGUCUUUUAAUUUUGUAUUGUAUUGGCGCCUCGAGACAAUGCCGUUAAGUCAAAAAUCAUCACAGCAGUAUGCUGUUUUUAGGGUUAAUCAAACUCUCUGACCCUUAUGGCCACCUUACAUAUACACAUGUGAGAUGUAGAAGGGGGAAAGAAUCUGCAUUAGAAAGACACAGAACAGUGGUAGGAAAAAGAGCUCAGAAUGAAAGUCUGGAGACGGCCUUGGGGUGGCACAGUUAGCGGGAACGCUAAUGAAGACAGAGAGGGCCUUCAGGAGCACAAAAUGACUUGGAGGAGGAAAGCAGAGAGAGAUGGUAGAGACAACAGAAAUAGAAGAGAGGGAGGUAUUAGAUAGUAAAGAAAGACUUGUCUUUAGUAGAGGGAGAAGAGGUGGGAAGAGAACAGAAGAAAGGGGCCAUGGGAGCCAGGAGAGAAAUGAGAAAAGAUCAGAUCCUGGAAUCCUACUGUAUAGAGAGAGAUGAAGCCCAAGUAAAAUGUUACCAAAAAAAAAAAAAGCCCUGAAAACAGGCGGAUAGAUAAAUGAAGUAAAAUAUUGUCAUUGAUAGAUCCAAACUUUGGAGAUCCAUCCAUCUGAGACAGCUGUAAGCCUGACACUUUUUAUUAUGCUA